Molecule: ribosomal RNA, 288 nt
Filed under: uncultured soil bacterium
Lineage: Bacteria
Description: partial 16S ribosomal RNA
Rfam family: Bacterial small subunit ribosomal RNA
Source: RNAcentral
AGAAUCAACGCUGGCGGCGUGCCUCAGACAUGCAAGUCGAACGAUUAAAGCUCUCUUCGGAGAGUGCAUAGAGUGGCGCACGGGUGAGUAACACGUAAGUAAUCUACCUUUGAGUGGGGAAUAACGUUCGGAAACGGACGCUAAUACCGCAUAAUGCAGCGGCAUCGCAAGAUGACAGUUGUUAAAGGAGCAAUCCGCUUAAAGAGGAGCUUGCGGCAGAUUAGCUUGUUGGUAAGGUAACGGCUUACCAAGGCUACGAUCUGUAUCCGGUACUAAGAGGACGGUCGG